UACGUAGGGACCAAGCGUUGUCCGGAAUCAUUGGGCGUAAAGCGCGCGUAGGUGGCCAUUUAAGUCCGCUGUGAAAGUCAAAGGCUCAACCUUUGAAAGCCGGUGGAUACUGGAUGGCUAGAGUACGGAAGAGGCGAGUGGAAUUCCUGGUGUAGCGGUGGAAUGCGCAGAUAUCAGGAGGAACACCAAUAGCGAAGGCAGCUCGCUGGGACGUUACUGACACUGAGGCGCGAAAGCGUGGGGAGCGAACAGG
RNAcentral lists this ribosomal RNA (253 nucleotides) under uncultured bacterium. RNAcentral describes it as "partial 16S ribosomal RNA". It matches the Rfam family "Bacterial small subunit ribosomal RNA", at positions 524 to 776 of the family's 1533-position model. The record is from RNAcentral.